AAUCUACUGUUGAAGGGUUCUCUGCAGUUUGGAGUUAUGCUGCUAUGCUAAUGCUGCCGUGGAUGUUCUCCUUCGUGUCUUCUGAUGAACCCAGGUAUAGCUUGCUACUGGAGGGAUGCUACUAGGAGUGGAAUUGCUGGCCACAGAUUGUGCAUGGUACCUUUUGUAGGUACCGCUAAAGGAUUUCCCCAGGCCUUCCUAUUUUCACUCCCACAGGAGUGUGUGGAAGUCACGUUUGCUGCCCAUCUUUGCCAACACAUGGCUUUUGGUCUUUGCUUUUGAUCUUACUUUGCUGGCAUAUGGUUGUCUCCUCUGGGUUUACCUUGAUCCAGGUGCUCCCCUCAUCCAUUGCACCCUUGCUUUUGCCAGUGGUCAGCGCUCAGUCCCCAUCUCACUGACCAACCUAUAGCCAGUGGCAGAUUUGCACACCCACCUGCCUCAGCGUAGCUCCUAGGGCCCCCUCUCCUGGCCUUCCUUCUCCAUACUGGCUGCUCCUUCUCAGCCACCCCACUUCUCCAUGGUUGUUCUUUUCUGACCUCUGACUGUUAGGUGACCCUCAGGGCUCAGGACCUGAUCUCCCUUCUCUCUAACUCAUCCCUCCAGCGAUCACAAACAGCACCACGGCUUCUCGUACCAUCCCUAUACUGGGAUCACCCCAUUUAUAUAAUUGCAAACUUGACACGUCCCCUCAGAUGUUUAGUAGAUAUCUCAAAUUUGGCAGAACAACUUCUCUUUCUCCAAAACUGCUCUCUGUCUCAGUUGAUGGCAACUUUUCCAGAAAAGUCAUCCUGAGCUUCCCUUUUGUUCAUACCUCGCAGCCAAUCUCAGGAGCCUAAUUGCUCUUGUACUCCAAUGCGUCCAAAUAUGGCUGCAUCCCACUCCUGCCUUCCAUGCCAGAGCCGCCAGCAAUUUUCACCUGGAUUUUUGGAAUAACUUGCUGUCCAGUCUUCCUGCUUCUUGUCAUGAAUUUCAGCCCAGAAGCCAGGUGGUGCUUUUCGUGUUAAGGCCAUCUUCUUCCCCUGCUCACUCUACUCCAGCGGCUCCACAUUUCAGAGGAGGAACUAAGGUUUGCAAUGGCCACCAGGCCUCGUGCAGCCGCCUCCUGUAUUUAUCUCCUGCUUCUCCUUGGCUUCUUCACACCACACCCUCAGGCCUUCUCCUGUUCCAGGACCAAGCCAGGCAUGUCCCUGCCUUAGGGCCUUCAAGGUGGUUCUUCUCUUGCCUGCCUGGACACUCUUCCCCCAGGUCUUCUCAUAGCUAAAUCCCUUUCCCCCAAAGCCUCGCUCAACGGCCUUGAGGAUUUCUGCUUAGUAUCUGUGAUCUUGAAAACUGGCUUGUGGUCUACAUGAGGCUCCAGUGUUUUUCUUUCCUUCACUUUCAAAGUCUGACAGGGGCCAUUUUCCUCAUGUUUUUUGAGGAUGUGCAUUUAUUUCUGACCUGCCAUUGAAGAUGUGUCCUGACUCUGUUGGCGGGUUCUCCUGGUGGGUUCUCCAUCUUGGUGGGGCUUGGGUUCAUCUCUCCCAUGCGCUGGGAGGCCUCAGAUGCUGAAGUUCGAGAUCACUUGGCCGUGGUGCAUUUCUUUGGGGAGAAAGCCAGCUUCCACAUCCUCCCCGAGUUCCCUUCUUUUUUUGGCCUGUGACUAUUCUUUUCUUUUUUUUUAAAUACCUUUAUUUUAUUUUUAUGUGGUGUUGGGGAUCAAACUCAGUGCUUCAUGCAUGCUAGGCAAGCUCUCUGCCACUGAGCCACAAUUCCAGCCCCUGCGACUAUUCUUAACCCUUCUGUCAGCUCAUUUGCUGCUGUGAAGGAUUAGAAACUUUUCAUCCAGCAUUUUUAAUGUUUUCAGCAGGAAGCAGAUCAGAGUGUCCAGUUUGUUCUGUUGUCAGAAACAGGAGUCCGUUGACUGUGUGCUGGAGGAAGGAAGUGUGUGACUGGAGAGGUGGACAGGUCCAGGACGACUCAGCCCCAAUCCCAGCUCUGCCUUCACCAACUGUGGUCUUAGGAAAGUCCCUGUCCCCUCUGGGCUUCAGCUGCCUACUUGGUAAAAUGAGGGCUGGGGGGUAGGGUGGCCUCAACGAGGCUGUGAUUCCUGGCUGUGGGUUUUCUGUGUCUCUGUCUUGAGGGAGUUUAUGCAUGUGUGAGGAAAAACUCUCAGUUCAGGUGGCCUUUCGGGUAUUCUCAGUGACCUGCCAGGCCCUGCGUCUGGUUCAGAAGAGAUGGCAGCUGGGCACCAUGGCACACACCUGAAAUCCCAGUGACUCAGAAGCUGAAGCAGGAGGAUCACAAGUCCAAGGCCAGCCUCAGCAACUUAUCAAAGCCCUGUCU
Molecule: long non-coding RNA, 2322 nt
Filed under: Marmota monax (woodchuck)
Lineage: Eukaryota; Metazoa; Chordata; Mammalia; Rodentia; Sciuridae
Source: RNAcentral